ACCAUCGUUGCAGAUGCUCAUC
RNAcentral lists this microRNA (22 nucleotides) under Medicago truncatula (barrel medic). Its description in RNAcentral is "mtr-miR5554a-3p". The record is from miRBase by way of RNAcentral. Lineage: Eukaryota; Viridiplantae; Streptophyta; Magnoliopsida; Fabales; Fabaceae.